CCUACGGGAGGCAGCAGUGAGGAAUAUUGGUCAAUGGGCUUACGCCUGAACCAGCCAAGUCGCGUGAGGGAAUACUGCCCUAUGGGUUGCAAACCUCUUUUGUCAGGGAGCAACUCCGGCUACGUGUAGCCGGACUGAGAGUACCUGAAGAAAAAGCAUCGGCUAACUCCGUGCCAGCAGCCGCGGUAAUACGGAGGAUGCGAGCUUUAUCCGGAUUUAUUGGGUUUAAAGGGUGCGGAGGCGGAAUGCCAAGUCAGCGGGAAAAUGGCGGGGCUCAACCUCGCUCCGCCGUUGAAACUGGCGUUCUUGAGUAGGCGAGAAGUAUGCGGAAUGCGUGGUGUAGCAGUGAAAUGCAUAGAUAUCGCGCAGAACUCCGAUUGCGAAGGCAGCAUACCGGCGCCCAACUGACGCUGAAGCACGAAGGCGUGGGUAUCGAACAGGAUUAGAUACCCGGGUAGUC
RNAcentral lists this ribosomal RNA (460 nucleotides) under uncultured bacterium. RNAcentral describes it as "partial 16S ribosomal RNA". It matches the Rfam family "Bacterial small subunit ribosomal RNA", at positions 338 to 795 of the family's 1533-position model. The record is from RNAcentral.